This 354-nucleotide long non-coding RNA is filed under the name Fukomys damarensis (Damara mole-rat). Its description in RNAcentral is "lncRNA (ENSFDAG00000033073.1)". The record is from RNAcentral. Lineage: Eukaryota; Metazoa; Chordata; Mammalia; Rodentia; Bathyergidae.
GUGGGUGAUGACGAUGACGAUGACGAUGAUGGCUUUGAUAUUGGCCAUAUGAGCCAAAGUUCCUGUGACAGUGAAAUGGAGCAAGAAUCGAUUGAUACAGACACAGAGAAUGCAGGCUUCCUUGAUUCAGAUGAUGAAGAAAACAGCAAUGUUUCGUAAGCAAGUAUACAGCUGAUGUGACGAUGUUGAUGUCUAUUCUAAAUGCACACGUGAAGAACUUAAUACUUCAUUUCAUUGAUUUUUUUUAUGUUCCUGUGAGCUACACACUGCACAAUAUAAUAAACUCCUGACCAGACAGCAAGACCGGUGAGAUCUCAACUAUGUUCUACAGAAAGGCCAGGAAAGCAAAACACA